This 23-nucleotide non-coding RNA is filed under the name Mus musculus (house mouse). Lineage: Eukaryota; Metazoa; Chordata; Mammalia; Rodentia; Muridae. The record is from RNAcentral.
UGGAUUCCCACCCUGGCUGGACU